GCGAGGCAGAGAGCUGCGCGCGCGAAAGGCGCGGCCUGCCUGGAGGGUUGUCCCAGAUCGAAGACUUGCUGGCGAUCCAGUUCUACCUGCUGCUGGACGGCCGCCUCGUAGCUUUUCCAGAUGCGUCUCUGUCAUCUUUGAGAAAGGCAAAGGGAAAACGGUGCAACUUCUCUUACCGAGUUGUUCCGAUGCCGAGUGGCUCUUUUAGCUUCUUUUUUACGGUUUUAACUUCUUUUUUACUGCUUUUUGCUUCAAGAGUUUGGCUUCUUAUCACCGCUGCAGGAAAUGGGACGAACUUUUGGGGGUGAUCUUUAACAUUUGAAAAGACUCAAUCGAACCCCUGAAAGUACACAGGUGCACCUGUCCCCGUUCAGGGGGUGGGGGCUGUACCUACCGGACAGUGCCCUGCGUCGUUGACAGAAGCAUUUCUGUUUCAAAACAUAUUGAUUUGAAUUUUGCUUCACUUAGCCUGUAUUAUCUUUAUUACUUUCUGCUUAAAGAAAUGACAUCCAAAGCUGUCACUUGACCAUGGAAUCAAGAGUAAAGACUUUUUAAAUCAAAAGGCAUGAUGUCCCAGCCUGGUAUACUUGUUUAAAAGUUAAGCACCAGUUCUGAAGACAAUAAUCUAUGUCUGUUACUUGGUGAGUCACUAGGCCAACAAGAUGAAUAUGCUAAAUUCGGGGAGAGAGAAGCUUGCUGGUCCAGAUGCUACAGUAAUAUGCUGGUGAGAAGAUGUGAGUACUGAAACAGUGCCUUCAGUCUGUCACAUUAGAGCCAAAGCCAAAAUGAACAUGUGCCUUGCACUAAGAAAUCCCAGGAUUGUCACAACUUGUGCCAGCUGUUGAGGUUAUGACACCUGUGCCAGCAUCGCCAGCUCUGCCCACUGUCAUCUGUUCCAACUGCUCCAUCUGCACUGUUUGUACCAAUUCUCCCAUUUCUGCAUCUGUACCUUCUGCAGAAAUGGUUCCAACAAUGCCAGCUGUGUCAUUGGUGCCAAAUAUGCCAGAUGUUCUAUUUGUCCACCCUGGGCCAAAUCAAUGUAGUUUUGUGCUCAUUAGUUUUAGCUGGUAGAUUCUAUUUCACAUUUUUUUAGAAGAUAGAAUCAUUACUAAAUCACAACUACAACUGCUUAACAUCUAUUUAGCCAUCCAUCUAUCUGUAAACACAACUUUGUUACUGUGUAGUCUGUCAACAUUAUUUUGAUCACAUUAAACCAUACGU
Long non-coding RNA from Varanus komodoensis (Komodo dragon), 1221 nucleotides. RefSeq lists it as uncharacterized. NCBI's taxonomy places the organism in Eukaryota, Metazoa, Chordata, Lepidosauria, Squamata, Varanidae. The transcript is spliced from 4 exons. The record is from RefSeq and is a predicted model, not a curated record.